UUCACAAAGCAAGCCAGCAGCUCCUGCAA
This 29-nucleotide non-coding RNA is filed under the name Mus musculus (house mouse). Lineage: Eukaryota; Metazoa; Chordata; Mammalia; Rodentia; Muridae. The record is from RNAcentral.